Molecule: ribosomal RNA, 253 nt
Filed under: uncultured bacterium
Lineage: Bacteria
Description: partial 16S ribosomal RNA
Rfam family: Bacterial small subunit ribosomal RNA
Source: RNAcentral
UACAGAGGUCCCGAGCGUUGUUCGGAUUCAUUGGGCGUAAAGGGUGCGUAGGCGGCGGGGCCAGUCUGAUGUGAAAUCCCGGGGCUCAACCCCGGAACUGCAUUGGAUACUGCCUUGCUCGAGUACUGGAGAGGGAACUGGAAUUUACGGUGUAGCAGUGAAAUGCGUAGAGAUCGUAAGGAAGGCCAGUGGCGAAGGCGAGUUCCUGGACAGUUACUGACGCUGAGGCACGAAGGCCAGGGGAGCAAACGGG